Molecule: non-coding RNA, 72 nt
Organism: Pristis pectinata (smalltooth sawfish)
Lineage: Eukaryota; Metazoa; Chordata; Chondrichthyes; Rhinopristiformes; Pristidae
Source: the annotation of a RefSeq genome assembly
GCGAUGGUGCUACAGUGGUGAGCAGAGCUGUUUCCUAAGCAGCUGACCCGGGUUAGAUUCCCGGCCAUCGCA